This is a non-coding RNA of Pelobates cultripes (western spadefoot toad), 281 nucleotides long. NCBI's taxonomy places the organism in Eukaryota, Metazoa, Chordata, Amphibia, Anura, Pelobatidae. The record is from the annotation of a GenBank genome assembly.
GUCUUCGUGGGUGCUUGGCUUGCCGUGUAUGAGGGGGAGGGGGUUCGGUUGUUACUGUCCUAACCGUCCUUGUUCCCGAUUAUGUCUUUGUGGGUGUUCAUGUGCCUGCUUCGUGGUUGUUAUCCUGUCUGUGUGUAGAGUGUUCGUCUCAGGUAGUGUCGGUCGAUGUCUUAAUGUGGUGCUGUCUGGGUGCGGGUUAGGUUGGGAUAGUCCGCCUCCCGUGCCUGUCCGGUCCGUCGUGUCUCGCCGUCUUUGAUUCGGUUCUCGUAGUGCUUUCUUUC